This 492-nucleotide ribosomal RNA is filed under the name uncultured bacterium. Its description in RNAcentral is "partial 16S ribosomal RNA". It matches the Rfam family "Bacterial small subunit ribosomal RNA", at positions 33 to 507 of the family's 1533-position model. The record is from RNAcentral.
ACGCUGGCGACGUGCCUAAUACAUGCAAGUCGAGCGAACAGACGAGGAGCUUGCUCCUCUGACGUUAGCGGCGGACGGGUGAGUAACACGUGGAUAACCUACCUAUAAGACUGGGAUAACUUCGGGAAACCGGAGCUAAUACCGGAUAAUAUAUUGAACCGCAUGGUUCAAUAGUGAAAGACGGUUUUGCUGUCACUUAUAGAUGGAUCCGCGCCGCAUUAGCUAGUUGGUAAGGUAACGGCUUACCAAGGCAACGAUGCGUAGCCGACCUGAGAGGGUGAUCGGCCACACUGGAACUGAGACACGGUCCAGACUCCUACGGGAGGCAGCAGUAGGGAAUCUUCCGCAAUGGGCGAAAGCCUGACGGAGCAACGCCGCGUGAGUGAUGAAGGUCUUCGGAUCGUAAAACUCUGUUAUUAGGGAAGAACAAAUGUGUAAGUAACUAUGCACGUCUUGACGGUACCUAAUCAGAAAGCCACGGCUAACUACGUG